This 372-nucleotide ribosomal RNA is filed under the name uncultured bacterium. RNAcentral's name for it is "bacterial SSU rRNA". It matches the Rfam family "Bacterial small subunit ribosomal RNA", at positions 524 to 898 of the family's 1533-position model. The record is from RNAcentral.
UACGGAGGAUCCGAGCGUUAUCCGGAUUUAUUGGGUUUAAAGGGUGCGUAGGCGGCUUAUUAAGUCAGGGGUGAAAUACGGCAGCUCAACUGUCGCAGUGCCUUUGAUACUGAUAAGCUUGAAUGUGGUUGAAGAUGGCGGAAUGAGACAAGUAGCGGUGAAAUGCAUAGAUAUGUCUCAGAACUCCGAUUGCGAAGGCAGCUAUCUAAGCCAUUAUUGACGCUGAUGCACGAAAGCGUGGGGAUCAAACAGGAUUAGAUACCCUGGUAGUCCACGCCCUAAACGAUGAUAACUCGAUGUUAGCGAUACACAGUUAGCGUCUUAGCGAAAGCGUUAAGUUAUCCACCUGGGGAGUACGCCCGCAAGGGUGAA